This 973-nucleotide ribosomal RNA is filed under the name uncultured bacterium. RNAcentral's name for it is "bacterial SSU rRNA". It matches the Rfam family "Bacterial small subunit ribosomal RNA", at positions 422 to 1401 of the family's 1533-position model. The record is from RNAcentral.
GUUGUAAACCUCUGUUAGCAGGGAAGAAGAGAGAUUGACGGUACCUGCAGAGAAAGCGCCGGCUAAAUUACGUUCCAAGCAGCCGCGGUAAUACGUAGGGCGCGAGCGUUGUCCGGAAUUAUUGGGCGUAAAGAGACUUGUAGGCGGUUUGUCGCGUCUGCUGAGAAAGGCCGGGGCUUAACUCCGUGUAUUGCAGUGGGUACGGGCAGACUAGAGUGCAGUAGGGGAGACUGGAAUUCCUGGUGUAGCGGUGGAAUGCGCAGAUAUCAGGAGGAACACCGAUGGCGAAGGCAGGUCUCUGGGCUGUAACUGACGCUGAGAAGCGAAAGCAUGGGGAGCGAACAGGAUUAGAUACCCUGGUAGUCCAUGCCGUAAACGUGGGGCACUAGGUGUGGGGGACAUUCCACGUUUUCCGCGCCGUAGCUAACGCAUUAAGUGCCCCGCCUGGGGAGUACGGCCGCAAGGCUAAAACUCAAAGAAAUUGACGGGGGCCCGCACAAGCGGCGGAGCAUGCGGAUUAAUUCGAUGCAACGCGAAGAACCUUACCAAGGCUUGACAUAUACUGGACCGCAUCAGAGAUGGUGUUUCCCUUCGGGGCUGGUAUACAGGUGGUGCAUGGUUGUCGUCAGCUCGUGUCGUGAGAUGUUGGGUUAAGUCCCGCAACGAGCGCAACCCUCGUUCUAUGUUGCCAGCACGUUAUGGUGGGGACUCAUAGGAGACUGCCGGGGUCAACCCGGAGGAAGGUGGGGAUGACGUCAAAUCAUCAUGCCCCUUAUGUCUUGGGCUUCACGCAUGCUACAAUGGCCGGUACAGAGGGUUGCGAUACUGUGAGGUGGAGCUAAUCCCUAAAAGCCGGUCUCAGUUCGGAUUGGGGUCUGCAACUCGACCCCAUGAAGUCGGAGUCGCUAGUAAUCGCAGAUCAGCAACGCUGCGGUGAAUACGUUCCCGGGCCUUGUAAACACCGCCCGUCAAG